GAAAGAUUUAUCGGAAGAGGAUGGGCAUGCGGCGCAUUAGCUAGACGGCGGGGUAACGGCCCACCGUGGCGACGAUGCGUAGGGGUUCUGAGAGGAAGGUCCCCCACACUGGUACUGAGACACGGACCAGACUCCUACGGGAGGCAGCAGUGAGGAAUAUUGGUCAAUGGGAGAGAUCCUGAACCAGCCAAGCCGCGUGAGGGAAGACGGCCCUAUGGGUUGUAAACCUCUUUUGUCGGAGAACAAGACCCGGGACGUGUCCCGGACUGCGUGUAUCCGAAGAAAAAGCAUCGGCUAACUCCGUGCCAGCAGCCGCGGUAAUACGGAGGAUGCGAGCGUUAUCCGGAUUUAUUGGGUUUAAAGGGUGCGUAGGCGGUCCGUUAAGUCAGCGGUAAAAUUGCGGGGCUCAACCCCGUCGAGCCGUUGAAACUGGCAGACUUGAGUUGGCGAGAAGUACGCGGAAUGCGCGGUGUAGCGGUGAAAUGCAUAGAUAUCGCGCAGAACUCCGAUUGCGAAGGCAGCGUACCGGCGCCAGACUGACGCUGAGGCACGAAAGCGUGGGGAUCGAACAGGAUUAGAUACCCUGGUAGUCCACGCAGUAAACGAUGAAUGCUGGUUGUCCGGGUCGAAUGAGAUCUGG
RNAcentral lists this ribosomal RNA (640 nucleotides) under uncultured bacterium. RNAcentral describes it as "bacterial SSU rRNA". It matches the Rfam family "Bacterial small subunit ribosomal RNA", at positions 202 to 842 of the family's 1533-position model. The record is from RNAcentral.